This is a non-coding RNA of Caenorhabditis elegans, 140 nucleotides long. The record is from Ensembl. NCBI's taxonomy places the organism in Eukaryota, Metazoa, Nematoda, Chromadorea, Rhabditida, Rhabditidae.
AGUUGAUCCAAUGGGUUAUCAGAUAAGUAGAGAUGAGUUAAAGAUGGUAAUUUUGUAAUGGUUUCUGGAAUUGAGGUGAUGGCAGAAGAUGUUAUUUCGAGAUGGGUCAAAUUGGCAAGAUCAGUGAGCUUUUCCUGAAA